This 534-nucleotide long non-coding RNA is filed under the name Fukomys damarensis (Damara mole-rat). RNAcentral describes it as "lncRNA (ENSFDAG00000026398.1)". The record is from RNAcentral. Lineage: Eukaryota; Metazoa; Chordata; Mammalia; Rodentia; Bathyergidae.
GCUUGGUAAAUGAAAUUGUCUGGCAAUAAUAAGAUCAUGUAUUUGGGAAAAUGUAUUCUGAGUUUUGUAUAAUUGACCAAAUCUUUGAAAAGCAUUCAUUAGUUAGUUGGUUUUGUUUACAGGCUGUCUAGAUCACUCAAUUGAAAUGUUCUCUUAAAGCAAUUAUUUGGAAUUUUAAAAGAUGGAUGUUAAGGUAGAGUUUCUUGGUUAGCAGGAGUGAGACACUGGGUUUGAUAUUCAGCAUUUGAAAAAGAAAAAAAAAGAAAAAAACUAUUUAAAAUGUGGACAGGUGUGCCAUAUAUAUAAUUUUUUCUAUAUAUUUUUUCUUCCAGCUCAAUGAAGUGAUACAUUAAUGAAGGCGAUUACAGAUUGGCAGAGUGGGAACUAAACUGAGGGGAAAUGGCAGAAAGCACAGCGGACAGAAUAAGAAGGAAUCACGCAGUCUCAUACCUGCAGAGCUGCUGACACUUCUAUCUCACUGUCUCCUUGAGGGUGAAUUGUGUCUCCUUGAUCAUCACGUUAUUGAAAGUACGG